AUUGAACGCUGGCGGAAUGCUUUACACAUGCAAGUCGAGCGGCAGCGCGGGGGGCAACCCUGGCGGCGAGCGGCGAACGGGUGAGUAAUAUAUCGGAACGUACCCCGUCGUGGGGGAUAACACAGCGAAAGCUGUGCUAAUACCGCAUACGACCUGAGGGUGAAAGCGGGGGAUCGCAAGACCUCGCGCGAUGGGAGCGGCCGAUAUCGGAUUAGCUUGUUGGUGAGGUAAAGGGCUCACCAAGGCGACGAUCCGUAGCUGGUCUGAGAGGACGACCAGCCACACUGGAACUGAGACACGGUCCAGACUCCUACGGGAGGCAGCAGU
RNAcentral lists this ribosomal RNA (327 nucleotides) under uncultured bacterium. RNAcentral describes it as "bacterial SSU rRNA". It matches the Rfam family "Bacterial small subunit ribosomal RNA", at positions 29 to 355 of the family's 1533-position model. The record is from RNAcentral.